UAGGUGGCAAGCGUUGUCCGGAUUUAUUGGGCGUAAAGCGAGCGCAGGCGGUUUCUUAAGUCUGAUGUGAAAGCCCCCGGCUCAACCGGGGAGGGUCAUUGGAAACUGGGAGACUUGAGUGCAGAAGAGGAGAGUGGAAUUCCAUGUGUAGCGGUGAAAUGCGUAGAUAUAUGGAGGAACACCAGUGGCGAAGGCGGCUCUCUGGUCUGUAACUGACGCUGAGGCUCGAAAGCGUGGGGAGCAAACAGGA
This 250-nucleotide ribosomal RNA is filed under the name uncultured bacterium. RNAcentral's name for it is "partial 16S ribosomal RNA". It matches the Rfam family "Bacterial small subunit ribosomal RNA", at positions 528 to 777 of the family's 1533-position model. The record is from RNAcentral.